CCUACGGGAGGCAGCAGUGAGGAAUAUUGGUCAAUGGACGAGAGUCUGAACCAGCCAAGUAGCGUGAAGGAUGACUGCCCUAUGGGUUGUAAACUUCUUUUAUAUGGGAAUAAAAUGUUCCACGUGUGGGAUUUUGUAUGUACCAUAUGAAUAAGGAACGGCUAACUCCGUGCCAGCAGCCACGGUAAUACGGAGGAUCCGAGCGUUAUCCGGAUUUAUUGGGUUUAAAGGGAGCGUAGGUGGAUUGUUAAGUCAGUUGUGAAAGUUUGCGGCUCAACCGUAAAAUUGCAGUUGAAACUGGCAGUCUUGAGUACAGUAGAGGUAGGCGGAAUUCGUGGUGUAGCGGUGAAAUGCUUAGAUAUCACGAAGAACUCCGAUUGCGAAGGCAGUUCACUGGACUGCCACUGACACUGAGGCUCGAAAGUGUGGGUAUCAAACAGGAUUAGAUACCCCUGUAGUC
This 460-nucleotide ribosomal RNA is filed under the name uncultured bacterium. RNAcentral describes it as "partial 16S ribosomal RNA". It matches the Rfam family "Bacterial small subunit ribosomal RNA", at positions 338 to 795 of the family's 1533-position model. The record is from RNAcentral.